RNAcentral lists this long non-coding RNA (326 nucleotides) under Olea europaea subsp. europaea. Lineage: Eukaryota; Viridiplantae; Streptophyta; Magnoliopsida; Lamiales; Oleaceae. The record is from RNAcentral.
AAUAUCCUAUCUAUUUAUUACUUAUAUAUUUAUUUAUUUCAUCAUAUUAUUUGUGCAGCUUGAAAAUAGUUCAUGACAACAGUCGUGAGAACCAAACUAACCGUGUAUCCUAAAAAAGCACUCUUGAAGUAUUGGGUUUCUUUCCCUCGAAAACAUCAAAUCGUAGUUCCAGUGCCACAAAGAUGCUAGGAAUCACUAUAUUUCCAAGACCAAGCAUUGAAAACGGACGUGCAGAAUCUGAUGUAGGAAACAAUAGCUUUAUAGGAGCUUUAAAAGAAAAAAAAUCUAGAAAAUGUCAUAUAUGAAAAGCCCAGCCAAGAAGAUGG